AGAAACUUAAGUUAUACUAAACUAGAGGCCUUCAAAGCCCCCAAAAAAGGUUACUUUAGUUUCUG
Molecule: transfer RNA, 65 nt
Filed under: Fowlea piscator (Checkered keelback)
Lineage: Eukaryota; Metazoa; Chordata; Lepidosauria; Squamata; Natricidae
Description: tRNA-Trp
Source: RNAcentral